AAGUCGUAACAAGGUCUCCGUAGGUGAACCUGCGGAGGGAUCAUUAACACGUUCCAACCCUUCUGAUAUCAACCCAACUGUGAACUCUACAAGGCAGUCUUCUGUCUUUUGCCUCAAUGUCGCCACGCUGUACGGUGAGUGCUGAGAUCCAUGAUGAAGGUGUGAGAGGGAGUGAAGCUCUUCUUUGAUGGGCUUCUGAACUUUCACUACGGGUCGAGUGCUCUUGAUGACGACGGAAUGGCGGGUUCAACCCAUCUUCUCUUGUCAGCUGUCUUUGUGAUGACGAGGCCCCAACAUAUAUACGAGUAGUGGUGAGUCAUCGACCGCUACACGCAUAUCCACACGACCCUUGCUGUUGGAGAUGGGGAAUCAUCACGCAUUCCCUGCUUUGCCAGCAUUGAACAUUCCAUCAUUUUUUGUAAUUAUACUGACAUCAUAUCUGGGGUACAAGCACACCCUGUGUUGCUGUACCUUGGAGAUGUAUGCCUGUAUGAUGAGUUGUGAUUCUUUCGAGAGUCACUGUGCUUAAUAACACAACA
RNAcentral lists this unclassified non-coding RNA (539 nucleotides) under plant metagenome. Its description in RNAcentral is "partial contains small subunit ribosomal RNA and internal transcribed spacer 1". The stretch from base 1 to 46 matches the Rfam family "Eukaryotic small subunit ribosomal RNA", at positions 1786 to 1831 of the family's 1831-position model. The record is from RNAcentral.